UUGAAUCUCAAAUCACUUCUGGGGAUAGCUGGUUUUGCUCAACAGAGAUCUGAGGAUGGAGCUGAGAGAAUCUGCAAUGUUGGAUUUUAUCCUAGGCUUGUUCUUCUUUCAUCCAGAUCUGAGUUCAACUUCCAUGCAAGGUAAAUUUUGUGAUCUAUGAUUCUUAUUUGGUUUGGAAAUAGUUGCUUACACUCCACUAUGCAUUACCACAAAUUCUAUGAUCAAAAGGAAUGCAACAAAUACUCUUCAUCUGUAGCAAAUUAGUGAACAUCUUCCCACACCUUUUUUCUUCUUCUUCUUCUUCUUCUUCUUCUUCUUCUUCUUCUUCUUCUUCUUCUUCUUCUUCUUCUUCUUUCAGGAGAACAAGUUGGGCACAUGAAAGAAAUUCAAACUUACAAAAACUAGUUGAAUUUUUUGGAAUAUCAGAAUGAUUUUUUUAGAGACAGAUCACAAUAUAUCUCUGCUUAUUGAGCAUGAUAAAAUUAGCAAAGGCAUCAGUAUAUGGAGGAAGAAGAAUGCUUUCUUAAAGAAAGAUAGAGGAAAAAUCAUAUAUAUAUAUAUAUAUAUAUAUUAGACAUUUGUAGUUAUAUCCAAUUGGUCAUAAGUAUAAUAACAUUAAAAAUCAAAUUGAUUUUAAUACCCCCUUCGAAGAAUAUUAAAAUCUUGACGAUCCAAUAAUUGAAACUGAUAACCAUGAUUACUAGUAGUUAACUUGAGUUUAUCAAACCGAUUGUCGAUGCGUAAAACAGUGAUUUAAAGUGUUCUCAAAAGAGAAGAAGAUAAAAAUAUUCUUUCAUGAAUUUCAAGACCACAAAAUAAUACUAUCCACAAUUUUGAUCGUCAAUCCAUAUGGCAAAAUUGAUCCGAUGUCGCCCAAUUGCUCGAGUGUUUUCUAUAAAUCGCUUAGGGGAGAGAGAACUUAACUUCAACCAGUGUUCAAAAAACUGCCUCCUUGUGUCCGAUAAUAGAUGUGAAUCCAAUCAACGGAAAUAGAUGUGAAUCUAUCCAGUUGGCGUGAGUUGAUUUGGUUUACCAAAUAUGGAUGGUUUUUCAAGAUCCAAAUGGGCUCCAUGUGUUUGUUGCGACUCUCAAUUAGCUUAAUUCAUUUAAAUUGGGAUUCUAAUUUUUUAAUCAAAUUUAAAAUAAGCACAAUUUAUCUAUAUGGGUAAUCGAUCCAACUUGGUAGCCUAUUGUCAUUCUAAAUAUGAGAUAAAAAUGAUGAUGAUGAUGCCGCAAUAUUAGAAUAUUUAGGUGUACAUUCACCAAGUCAAACUGUAGUCAAACUGUAAAAAGAUGUUUAGAUCGUAGAUACCAUAGACGAUACUUGCAAAUAAGAACAUAUGAAUUGCUUGUUUAGAUAACUUGCAUAAGAUCCUUCUAAUAUAUACUCCAUUCUGUAAGGAUGAGACCUUCAUGCAUCAUGAGAUACAAUUCAAGCCAUACAAGAAAUGAGGUUCCAUUUUUACCACACCAAUCAAUCUAUCUUUUUAAGGAUUUUGACAAAUAUAAAUUAUCAUGGGUGUCUGUCUAUCCUUUUACAAAUAAGGUUGUGACAUAAAUGACAACAACAUUACAAGAAUUUAAGCACAACAUUGGUAAAGAAAUGUUCAAAAUACCAAUUUACAACAUUUAAGAUUCCUUUGGUGUAAGAGAGACUGAUCCUUAGCUUUGUCCAAAUUCCAGAAGCUGAAAUGUGUUUACAUAUAAAUAAAAAUUCCGAGCAAACCUGAAGAACUUCCUAGACACAGUAGAUUAGCAACCAAGACAAAGCAGUAAGAAGGGUCAUCGUCGAGGUGCUCAUCAACUGCGAGGCGGCAUUUGGUAACCACGGAUAUGAGUCUGGCGGAGGCAUGACACAGUUGUCGCCGUUGAAGUAGAUGCGCCGUGGAAAGGCCCAUCCCUUUUCGAAAGUAAAAGUUGAUGGAUCCUUCUUGAAUAGAAGUUCCGACUGUACAUUUCCAUAAGGUCCAGCUUCCAUGAGCAAGUCAUUGUAGUACUUGACACCCCAUAGCAUUGCAGUAUCAUCUGUGACAUGAAAAGCAUUUAAGAUUAUGAUCACGGAAGAGGAAGAAAAUAGUAAGCAACAUGUACUCCAGGUUUGUAAUUCUUUUUGAGUCAAUAAGAAAGAAAUAUGCACAUAUAUGAGGUAGAUCAAUAGAGGCAAACUUAAAUCAUAAGGUGUUCUUGCAAAAUUAGAUAACAGAGUUAGAGUCAUCAUGACUAUAGGGAUAAUAUUCAUCCACUAACAGUUCCAUGAUACAAAUAAGAGGAAAAUCCAGAGUGGCCUUAGAAAAGUAAAAUUGAAUCGAAGAAACUUACUUAUUCCCCCAUAUGGUGUCAACGACUUGUAAUUGAAGCUAAAGAGUUGAGUGAGAUUGUCAAGAUUCGGAUGCUGGAUGACAAGGUUCCACUGCGUAUAAUUCAUCCGGUAGUUGAAAUUUGUUAUUGCAAUCUUCACGCGCCAGUAUUCCUUGUAGUUAAGUUUAACGUGCCAAUGCACUCUUACGGGGCACAUAUGUGAUGUACACUGGACCAGCGGUGUGAAGCUGUUUUUGCCAGGACCAUUGACCGCGGAAGCUAAAUAAGGUGAAUCUCCUCUGCCAUAGUAAACCAAGACAUCAGUAAGAGAUGAACUAAAAUUGUAAGCAAUAGAAAGAGUUUCACAUUUUAACUCACUCCACGCAGCUUCCCGGCUGAGUUGCAUUGUUCUGGCACCCACAAGUGCAUGUCGGACAGUUAACAAUCGUGUCGUUAUAGAAAGAUGAAAGUGAUACACAGCAAGUAGGUGUCUUCUGAGCAAGAAAUUGGGAAUAUGUACAUGUAACAUUCCACGUCACUGCAAUUAAAUUUCAAAAAAUAUUUUAAAGCAAGCAAUCACUACAAAGAGAGCAUGCAACAAAAUAUUUAGUUUACUAAAAAGUUUGUGAAUUUACUAUAAAAAUGAGGAAAUUCUCAAAAGAUAUUUAGUAAUUAAAAAAGAAACCAAAAAGUUCGUGAGUUUACUACAAAAUAUAAGGCAUGUGAUAGUUUUUACCAUAAGACAGGUGGAGAAAAGGAUGUUUAUUAGACUGCCAAAGUGCAAAUGUUAAAUGUAAAACGGAAACAUCAAAAGUUGCUUGUCAACAAUAUUAAAAUUAAGGAUAAAUGAAGAUUUAUACAUCAUUUAAUAAACAUUCUAUUGAUGACUUAGCCUUAAGAGAUAGAUUAUAGCAAGAAGCUUAGACAUCAUGGAUUUGUUGGUAAAAUCAGAACAAAUAAGAAAAAUAAAGAUUUAAAUAGGAUAAAAUCAGGUAAAAGUGUAGGACAUGAUGGCAGCUCUACUUCAGAUUUGAAUAUUAUAGGAUAUCGGAGGGUAGUUUGGUUAACUAGAUUAUUAACAAAAUUUUGAGUAUCAAGCAUGUACAAUGAACCAGGGAGGAACUUUAAAGACAAUUUAUAAGAACCAGACAGGCAUUCAAAAUUACUCUAAUGAUAGAGGAUUUAACUAAUGAGUCACACUGAAAAUUUGAGAAAGUGUAAUUAAAAAAAGAAUAAGAAACGAAAUGAAUAUCUUGGGAAUGUUAUUUGAUUUUAUGCCCAAAAGAUCAAGUGAUCAACCACAAAUGUUUUUUAUUUAUUGAGAUAAUUAAUAUAAAAUAUAGAGAGAAGGAAAAAGGUCUAUAUAUGGUUUACAUUGACAUAGAAAAAGGUUAAUUAUAUAGUACCUAUAGAUUUAUUAUGAUGGAUUUUAAAAAGAAAAGAGCAUCUAAGAAUUAUAUCAAUGUAAUAAAAGACAUGUAUGAUAUAGUAUUUACAAUUGCUAGGGCUAUAGGAAUUGUAUGUAUCAUAUUUCCUAUACUAUAGGGCUACAACAAGGAUUAGUCCUAAAAUCUUAUCUUCUUAUAUUGCUAAUGGACCCAUUUACUACUCAUAUAUAGGAAUAUCCCCACAAAAUAUAUUACUUGCUGAUGAUAUUGUGCCGAUUGAUGAAAGUUAUGAAGACCGAUUUGAAACUAAAAGAUUUAGUUAAGUAGGACUAAGAUUGAACAUAUAUAGUUUUGAAUGUAUUAGAAAAAGAAAAAGGGUGUGCUACAGAUAGAUGGAUAAGAAGUUUCUAUAAGUAAAAAUUUGAAGCACCUCGGAUCUAUUAUUCAAUACAAAUGAGAGAAUAACUAACACAUUAUUCAUAUAGUAAAAGCUAGAUAGUUAAAAAGUAGAUAGGAGCAUUGUGAUGGUUGUCUUAUCAUCAUGUCACUCUAAGAUUAAAAAAUAUAUUUUAUAAGAUAUGUGUAAGGUUGAUUAUGAUUUAUGGAUCAGAGUAUUGAACGAAUAAUAAAUGGCAUGCAUAUAAAAAAUUAGUUUACCUGAGAUGAAAUCUUGAGAUGAACAUAUGGAAUUACAAAAAAAAGAAUUAAACAAAUAUUUUUAUUUGGAAACAAUUAGGUAUUGGUUCAAUAGAGGAUCAGAAUAAAAAAACAUCUAAAAUUAUAUGAACAUAUUUCAAGAUCUAUAGAUGUUGUAGUUAAAUAAUGUUGUGGAUUGAGAUAAAUAGUGCAAGGUAGAGGAGACUUAAGAAGACUUUAAUAAAAAUAAUAAAAUAAAAUCGAAUGCUUCUAUUCUAUCUGGAUAUCAUAUUACACAAAGCUCAAUGAUGGGAAAAGACAUAUUUAACCAACCCAAAUGGUUGGGAUAUUAUGGCAUGUCCAUGUGCAAUAUAACAGUUGUAUCUAAAACCUGAAAUCCUAUCCUAUUCAAAGUUUCAAAAUACUAAUUUUUGCAGGUUAUCUUUGAUAACUUACUCAGAGCUUGGGUUGUUCUCCUUCCAUCUUGUGUAACAAAUUUAGUGGGCUUUACAAUUUUUGCUAUUCCACAUGUAUACCCAGGUCCUGGAGCCCUCAAGGUGAAGUUUUUCGGCACACGCACGGUCUUGUUGGUGGUUCCUGCUGCACCAACACUGACCUGGAAUGAACUUGCAGCAUUAG
Molecule: long non-coding RNA, 4961 nt
Filed under: Musa acuminata (dwarf banana)
Lineage: Eukaryota; Viridiplantae; Streptophyta; Magnoliopsida; Zingiberales; Musaceae
Description: long non-coding RNA (MACU_LNC001692)
Source: RNAcentral